AAGUGAUGACGUGGUAGACGGAGU
Molecule: microRNA, 24 nt
Filed under: Glycine max (soybean)
Lineage: Eukaryota; Viridiplantae; Streptophyta; Magnoliopsida; Fabales; Fabaceae
Description: gma-miR4371b
Source: miRBase by way of RNAcentral